Amphiprion ocellaris (clown anemonefish) is the source of this 859-nucleotide long non-coding RNA. RefSeq lists it as uncharacterized. The record is from RefSeq and is a predicted model, not a curated record. The transcript has 2 exons. NCBI's taxonomy places the organism in Eukaryota, Metazoa, Chordata, Actinopteri, Pomacentridae.
UGCUGCUCACAGUCUGCUGCUGCUCACAUUCUUCACAUUUAUUUAUUUAUUUAUUUAUUUAACGUUUCACCCACAUCGUGCUUUAGGGCAGCCGGGUCGGACUUGAUGUUUGAAAUACUGACCGACAGCUCAGAUUUAACUGUCUGUAGUUCCGUUUUGAUGGGUGUUAAACUUUCACUCAAAGCCGCCAGGAGCUGGGUCUUUAAAAUAACCGCCGUCUCGUUACAGAGUGAAAGUAGCAGUUCCUCCUUAAGGUCAGAGAUUGCAGCAUCUGAGGGCCUCUUCCAAAGAAGACGUAGUUGAUGAAGGCGUUCUGGAGCAGGACCAGAAAGACCACGACCAAGCAGCCUUGAGAUCUUAGGCAGCGUCUCCCUCAGGUCCCUCUCUAUCUCCCCAUAUAUCCACCAACCACUGGAACACAUCUCCAAAGUUCUGCCGGUCCAGCUCAGCUUCCCUUCAGAAGAAGUUCCACCAGAUGAAGGAGCCUUUUGAGAGGCAGCUGGCACGUGAUUGGACUGUACUUUGGUCUGUUCCAAUCCAGCUUCAGCUCCAGAGACGGCAGGCGGGACGAGUCAACGGAAGCCGGGUGGACGAAGGCAUGCAGCUGAGUACAAUCCAGAAAACAACAGAGGAGGAGUGCAGUGGCCCAGGGCCAGAACAAGCAGAGUAUGUCUCUUAGAAAACAUCAUAGUAUAGCCUUUGGUAUGAAAAAACGCCAUCAUAUACAUCAUAUAUUGUACAAAUAACAAGUCAAAGGAAAGAGACAUACAUUGUAGAAUUGUAGUAAUUGUGGGCUGACUGAUUUACUGAUUAUCACUAUUUUUUACUGAUUUACGGUAAUAAAUACAUUUUAAAAUGG